RNAcentral lists this ribosomal RNA (1067 nucleotides) under uncultured bacterium. Its description in RNAcentral is "bacterial SSU rRNA". It matches the Rfam family "Bacterial small subunit ribosomal RNA", at positions 50 to 1104 of the family's 1533-position model. The record is from RNAcentral.
CCUACAAUGCAAGUCGAACGAAGCCUUGGGAGCUUGCUCUUGGGGACUGAGUGGCGCACGGGUGAGUAACGCGUGGAUGAUCUACCCUGGAGUUUGGAAUAGCAGCUGGAAACGGCUGGUAAUACCGGAUACGGCACCUAUUCUACGUUGGUGUUAAAGGAGGCCUCUGCUUGCAAGCUUUCGCUUUGGGAUGAGUCCGCGUUUCAUUAGGUAGUUGGUGGGGUAAUGGCUCACCAAGCCUGCGAUGAAUAGCCGACCUGAGAGGGUAAUCGGCCACACUGGGACUGGAACACGGCCCAGACUCCUACGGGAGGCAGCAGUGGGGAAUAUUGCGCAAUGGGCGAAAGCCUGACGCAGCGACGCCGCGUGAGGGAUGAAGGGCUUCGGUUCGUAAACCUCUGUCAGGAGGGAAGAAGUGGUAGGGUGCUAAUCAGCUCUACCUUGACGGUACCUCCAAAGGAAGCACCGGCUAACUCCGUGCCAGCAGCCGCGGUAAUACGGAGGGUGCAAGCGUUAAUCGGAAUCACUGGGCGUAAAGCGCAUGUAGGCUGCUUUGCAAGUCAGGGGUGAAAGCCCACGGCUUAACCGUGGAACUGCCUUUGAAACUGCAUUGCUUGAGUCUGUGAGAGGGUAGUGGAAUUCCAGGUGUAGGGGUGAAAUCCGUAGAGAUCUGGAGGAACAUCAGUGGCGAAGGCGACUACCUGGUGCAGUACUGACGCUGAGAUGCGAAAGCGUGGGGAUCAAACAGGAUUAGAUACCCUGGUAGUCCACGCUGUAAACGAUGGAUACUAGGUGUCGGGAGCAUGUCUUUCGGUGCCGUAGCUAACGCAUUAAGUAUCCCGCCUGGGGAGUACGGUCGCCAAGGCUGAAACUCCAAGAAAUUGACGGGGGCCCCCACAANCGGUGGANUAUGUGGUUUUANUUCGAUGCANCCCAAAAAACCUUACCUAGGCCUNGACUUCCAGGAANCCUCCCNAAAAAGANGGGUGCUCUUCGANANCCUGAAACAGGGCNGCAUGGCUGUCCNCCCUCNNGNCCCGAGGNUUUGGUAAAUCNACCACCAACCC